This 443-nucleotide ribosomal RNA is filed under the name uncultured bacterium. RNAcentral's name for it is "partial 16S ribosomal RNA". It matches the Rfam family "Bacterial small subunit ribosomal RNA", at positions 338 to 795 of the family's 1533-position model. The record is from RNAcentral.
CCUACGGGCGGCAGCAGUGGGGAAUAUUGGGCAAUGGGCGCAAGCCUGACCCAGCAACGCCGCGUGAAGGAAGAAGGCUUUCGGGUUGUAAACUUCUUUUAGCAGGGACGAAGGAAGUGACGGUAACGGAGGAAUAAGCCACGGCUAACUACGUGCCAGCAGCCGCGGUAAUACGUCGGGGGCAAGCGUGAUCCGGAUUUACUGGGUGUAAAGGGCGUGUAGGCGGGACUGCAAGGCAGAUGUGAAAACCCCGGGCUCAACCUGUGGCCUGCAUUUGAAACUGUAGUUCUUGAGUCCUGGAGAGGCCGCCGGAUUUCCUUGUGUAGCGGUGAAAUGCGUAGAUAUUCGGAGGAACCCCAGUGGCGAAGGCGGUCUGCUGGACAGCAACUGACGCUGAGGCGCGAAAGCGUGGGGAGCAAACAGGAUUAGAUACCCCUGUAGUC